ACAUCUUAAUAAAACUUUUUUAAAUCUGUUCUUAUCAGUUUUAUAUGCGAUAUGUCUUCCAUCUGAGGACCAUACAUAAAAUGGAUUUUUGGAACAGGGAGAUGGAAUAGGAUCUUGCUCCAUCCACUCCACGCAUCGACCUGGUAUUGCAGUACCUCCAGGAACGGUGCCCCUCCC
Molecule: small nuclear RNA, 177 nt
Organism: Gopherus agassizii (Agassiz's desert tortoise)
Lineage: Eukaryota; Metazoa; Chordata; Testudines; Testudinidae
Gene: U2
Rfam family: U2 spliceosomal RNA
About the family: U2 is a small nuclear RNA (snRNA) component of the spliceosome (involved in pre-mRNA splicing).
Source: Ensembl